GUCCCUAGAAGCAUCAGACUGUGUGCGAACAAAGAAGCACUUAACCGGUGAAGUGGUCGGGUUUUUCUUCUUUUCUUCUUUCCCUCCAUCUUUAAACACAAAAAAGCGGUACCGACGUAAACCAACGAGAAUCCCUUCUCUAGCUAACCUGCCAUACUUGGCAAAAUAAUCGAAAAUAAUCGAUUGAACUACUUGUUGAACAACUCUUGUCAGCAUCCUCUUCUGCAAACUUGACCAUCAAAACGUUAUCAUCCCCUAACGUCCUUUGAAGGAAAUUGCUCAUCAUAGUUAAAUAGGGGCCCUUGAACCUAUAAGUUCCAUCAGAACUAACAUGGCAAUGGUAAAUGUGUGUCCUGCCACAAUCCCAGACAAGAUACUUCACACGUUCAUGCUCCCUGAUAUAGCCACAUCUACUGCCCACAGCUUUCCAAAUUUCAGCCUCAAAUUUAGCCAUUGGCAAAUGUUCCAUCCGUCGAAUCUCAUCCGCAAAUAGCAC
Molecule: unclassified non-coding RNA, 496 nt
Filed under: Hevea brasiliensis (rubber tree)
Lineage: Eukaryota; Viridiplantae; Streptophyta; Magnoliopsida; Malpighiales; Euphorbiaceae
Source: RNAcentral